UGACCAAGACAACUCUUAUGAAAGAAAGCC
Molecule: non-coding RNA, 30 nt
Filed under: Mus musculus (house mouse)
Lineage: Eukaryota; Metazoa; Chordata; Mammalia; Rodentia; Muridae
Source: RNAcentral